RNAcentral lists this ribosomal RNA (459 nucleotides) under uncultured bacterium. Its description in RNAcentral is "partial 16S ribosomal RNA". It matches the Rfam family "Bacterial small subunit ribosomal RNA", at positions 338 to 795 of the family's 1533-position model. The record is from RNAcentral.
CCUACGGGAGACAGCAGUGAGGAAUAUUGGUCAAUGGUCGGGAGACUGAACCAGCCAAGCCGCGUGAGGGAGGAAGGUACAGAGUAUCGUAAACCUCUUUUGUCAGGGAACAACGACUGGGACGCGUCCCCGGCUGCGUGUCCCUGACUCACAAGCAUCGGCUAACUCCGUGCCAGCAGCCUCGUUAAUCCGGAGGAUGCGAGCGUUAUCCGGAUUUGUUGUGUUUACAGUGUGCGCAGGCGGUCUGUUCAUUCAUCGGUCAAUGCCCGGGGCUCAACCCCGGCCCGCCGUUGAAACUGGCAGUCUCGAGUUGGAGAGAAGGAGGCGGAAUGCGCGGUGUAGCGGUGAAAGGCAUAGAUAUCGCGCAGAACUCCGAUUGCGAAGGCAGCAUGCCGGCUCCACACUGACGCUGAGGCACGAAAGCGUGGGUAUCGAACAGGAUUAGAUACCCCGGUAGUC